RNAcentral lists this ribosomal RNA (645 nucleotides) under Triticum aestivum (bread wheat). Its description in RNAcentral is "partial small subunit ribosomal RNA". The record is from RNAcentral. Lineage: Eukaryota; Viridiplantae; Streptophyta; Magnoliopsida; Poales; Poaceae.
AUGGCCCCAAACAGAGCCCCCGGACCUGAUAAUAUUCCUGUAGAAUUUUAUCAGGUUUGUUGGGAGAUAGUUAAAGAUGAUAUCAUGGACCUUUUUGAUCAUUUUCAUCGAGGAAAGCUUGAUGUUAAGCGCCUCAAUUACGGGAUUAUUACCCUUUUGCCUAAAGUUUCUAGUGUUGAGAGAAUCCAGCAGUUUAGGCCGAUUUGCCUGCUUCGUUACCCUUACAAGCUCAUAACUAAAGUGCUCGACCGAAGGGUUGCUAUUUAUGCAGAUAGGCUAAUCAGCCUCACCCAGAAUGCUUUUGUAAAAGGUAGGAAUAUCAUGGAUGGAGUGCUUUCACUCCAUGAGAUACUCAAUUAUACACAUGUUAAGAAGAGAGUGUGGAUUGUUCUUAAGCUAGAUUUCGAAAAAGCCUAUGACAAAGUAAACUGGGAUUUCCUUCUUGAAUGUCACAAAAUGCGGGGCUUUAAUGAAACCUGGUGUGGAUAGAUUAAACAAAUCCUCUUCGAGGGGACAGUUAGCAUCAAGUUGAAUAACUGUACGGGCCCAUACUUUCAAAGUGCCAAGGGGGUUCGCCAGGGGGAUCCCCAUUCUCCCUUCCUGUUCAAUCUGGCUGUUGAAUGUCUCACCAAAAUGAUUAAAAAU